CUCCACCCAUUCCUCCAAAGCCACAUAUUCCUCCUCCUCCUCCUCCACCCAUUCCACCCCCAAAACUGCCAAGACCCCCGUAGCUCCCGCCAAAGCUGCCCAUCCUGCUGCCAUACCCACCACCAUAGCACCCACCCAUGGACAUCCUGGCACUGCCCCCCCAUGUUGUGGAGGCUCCGGCUGCCAAAGCCCCCGCACCGUCCUCCACCUCCGAAUCCCCUGGACACAGAGUACGAGCUGUAGCUGCUCCUGCUCCUGCUGCCACCUCCAAAGCCACCACCGAUUGCAGAGCAGGAGCUUUGGAGGGGGGAGCAGCUACAGCUCGUACUCUGUGUCCAGGGGAUUCGGAGGUGGAGGACGGUGCGGGGGCUUUGGCAGCCGGAGCCUCCACAACAUGGGGGGGCAGUGCCAGGAUGUCCAUGGGUGGGUGCUAUGGUGGUGGGUAUGGCAGCAGGAUGGGCAGCUUUGGCGGGAGCUACGGGGGUCUUGGCAGUUUUGGGGGUGGAAUGGGUGGAGGAGGAGGAGGAGGAAUAUGUGGCUUUGGAGGAAUGGGUGGAG
This 558-nucleotide long non-coding RNA is filed under the name Chloebia gouldiae (Gouldian finch). RNAcentral describes it as "Erythrura gouldiae (Gouldian finch) lncRNA (ENSEGOG00005010841.1)". The record is from RNAcentral. Lineage: Eukaryota; Metazoa; Chordata; Aves; Passeriformes; Passeridae.